AACAUCGCGCACCUGCGGGAACCUGCGGAAGGAUCAUUACAGAGUUGCAAAACUCCCUAAACCAUUGUGAACGUUACCUAAACCGUUGCUUCGGCGGGCGGCCCGGGUCCUUCCCGGCGCCCAUCGGCCCUCGCGGGCGCUCGCCGGAGGUAAACCAAACUAUUGCAUUGUAUGGCCUCUCUGAGUCUUCUGUACUGAAUAAGUCAAAACUUUCAGCAACGGAUCUCAGAUCGGAAGAGC
RNAcentral lists this unclassified non-coding RNA (240 nucleotides) under soil metagenome. Its description in RNAcentral is "partial contains 5.8S ribosomal RNA, internal transcribed spacer 2, and large subunit ribosomal RNA". The record is from RNAcentral.